UGGGGAAUAUUGGACAAUGGGCGCAAGCCUGAUCCAGCAAUGCCGCGUGUGUGAAGAAGGCCUUCGGGUUGUAAAGCACUUUUAUCAGGAGCGAAACGCUGCCGGCUAAUACCCGGCGGAACUGACGGUACCUGAGGAAUAAGCACCGGCUAACUUCGUGCCAGCAGCCGCGGUAAUACGAAGGGUGCAAGCGUUAAUCGGAAUUACUGGGCGUAAAGCGUGCGUAGGCGGUUUCUUAAGUCUGCUGUGAAAUCCCCGGGCUCAACCUGGGAAUGGCAGUGGAUACUGGGAGGCUAGAGUGUGUCAGAGGGUGGUGGAAUUCCCGGUGUAGCGGUGAAAUGCGUAGAGAUCGGGAGGAACAUCAGUGGCGAAGGCGGCCACCUGGGACAACACUGACGCUGAGGCACGAAAGCGUGGGGAGCAAACAGGAUUAGAUACCCUGGUAGUCCACGCCCUAAAACGAUGCGAACUGGAUGUUGGUCUCAAACUCGGAGAUCAGUGUCGAAGCUAACGCGUUAAGUUCGCCGCCUGGGGAGUACGGUCGCAAGACUGAAACUUAAAGG
RNAcentral lists this ribosomal RNA (563 nucleotides) under uncultured bacterium. RNAcentral's name for it is "partial 16S ribosomal RNA". It matches the Rfam family "Bacterial small subunit ribosomal RNA", at positions 355 to 907 of the family's 1533-position model. The record is from RNAcentral.